RNAcentral lists this ribosomal RNA (210 nucleotides) under uncultured bacterium. RNAcentral's name for it is "partial 16S ribosomal RNA". It matches the Rfam family "Bacterial small subunit ribosomal RNA", at positions 524 to 732 of the family's 1533-position model. The record is from RNAcentral.
UACAGAGGGUGCGAGCGUUGUCCGGAAUCACUGGGCGUAAAGGGCGCGUAGGCGGCUUGGUAAGCGUGCGGUGAAAGCCCGGGGCUCAACCCCGGGUCGGCCGUGCGAACUGCUGGGCUGGAGCACUGUAGAGGCAGGUGGAAUUCCGGGUGUAGCGGUGGAAUGCGUAGAGAUCCGGAAGAACACCGGUGGCGAAGGCGGCCCAGCUGG